CGACAAUUCUGCCAACAGCUGAAUUCAACAGUGGGUCUGAACAAAGAAAAGUGCGUUAAUUAUGGCAGAUGUGUGGAGUUCCGGGACCCCGGUCCCGCGCCCCCGCCCCAGCCCGGCCCAGUGCCCGCCGCGAAAAGUCGCGACGACUUUGAGAACCACUUUCGCCCCGAGUGGCGGCCGCACUCGCGCGCCCCGAAACCUGGGCUCGGCAGAAACCGAAAGCUGGCGCCAGGGUCGCGCCACCCCCACCCCGGAGGCGGGUCCCGGGUCUCCGGGAGGAGGGAGGUGUCGGGGGGACCCCAGGGGUGUCCCGGCCCGCGCCCCCGCUCACUUUUUCGUGCAGUCCAGCAGGAUCCCCGCGAAGCUCCGCUCGCCGCAGCUCACCGUGACCACCAGCGCGCCGUUGACGACCUGCUCCACCCGCACGGGCAGCCGGCAGCCGGCGCGCGGCUCCAUGCUCCCGCCGCGUCCCAGGCCGCCCCGCCCCGCCGCCGCCGCCGCCGCCGCCGCCGCCGCCGCCGCCGCCGCCGCCGGGUCAGCCCCGCGCGUGACGCCGCCCGCGGCCGCCUGACGUCACAAAGCUCCGCUGGGCGGCCGCCACCGCCGUGCCGGGCCGGGGCGCGCGGCCGCGGCUCUGCUCCGGGCACCCCGCCCGCCGCCGCCGCGUACGGGGAGAAGCCGCGCCCGCCCGCAGAGCUCGGCGGGACGCGCGCUGCGGACCCCGGGGGUGGAGAGGGGCUGCGCCCGGGCUCGCGGCCCACGCUGGCCGGGAGUGUCCUCCGACUCGGGAGGACCCGAGAGCCACGAGCCCGGGGGCGGCGGGGGAACACCAGCCCUGGCCGGAGCCCCGGGACUCCAUCCCCAACUCCCCUGCCUGAGGCCGGUCCCGGGCCCCGUCUCCUCCGGACCCGGCCCUGCGCCCUCCCUCCCUCCCCGGUGUCCCGGAUCCCCCGCCUGGGUUCGGCUGCCCGCGUGCCCCGGCAGCGCCCCGCGCAGGGCUCUGGUGGCCCCGGGCACUGCGGCGAGGAAGUCUCGGGCGGCGCGCGCAGGAAGCCGGGGCGGGCGGAGGAGACGCGAGGCGCCCGGGGCAGCGGCCUAGUGUCGCCCUCGCCGCGUGGGGACGGGACACUGGGUCGCCCCACUGGGCUCGGCGCCUCUCGGGCGACAAGCGGGCGCGCGCCCGGCUCAGGGUCACCCUGCGCGCCUGGGGUCGCCGACACCGGGACCCGUGGGGUUAACUCCGUCGGGAGGUUCCCGGGCCCAAGGGCCAGGCGCGCCUCCGCCAGUUUACAAAGGAAACAGCCUCCUUCCUCCGCGGCAGGGGCUCCCCGACCCGCGGGCGAGGAGUGGGAGGUGACGGCGCCGGACCCCUCCCCCGGGACCCCCGCAGGGUCCCGGCUCCCGCGCCUUCAGGCGUCAAAGCCCCGAAUUCCCCGAGCACCAGCGCGUCCGCACCCGGCUCAGAACGCAGGGGCCCGGCCUGCUGCGGUGACCUUGGCCCCGGGCCGGGCUUCUGAGCCGGGCUUGCAGCACCGACGGGGCCUGGAGGCGGGGCGGGGAACCGCGGAGUUGUCCUGGCGACCCAGCGCCGCGCGGCACGGCUCCUCCCAGCCUGGGAAUGGAGGACCACCGCCCCUGGUGCCGCUGGGGUCCGUCGGGCCGCUGGCGCCGCUCGACCUCGCCCUCCGGCGGCCGCACGGCAGGGGAGCCUCAGAGAGGAGCCAGGGCGGCUGGAGUGAGGGAGCCCGCGGGGCCUGGGGCACCUGGCGGUCCCUGGCAGAACAGGGGUGGGGACCGAGGCCAGGGACAGUCCCAGAGGAGGCCUGGAAGCCCAGCGAGCGUGUGUCCUCUUCUGUGUGGCCUGGGGCUCCCGCCAACACUAAGCCCUUACUGGGGCCUCAGGCACCUCAAGGCGCCGUAGCCGCCAGGCCUGCAGAGGAGCUGCCCUGCUGUCCUGCCCACAGGCCUCUGCAGCUGCCCCCUCCAGGGGGUGGGGCUGACUUUGGAUUAAAAAUGCCAGGCAGCAGGGACCCCCUCGCCACCCUACUCGGGGUUGGGCUAAGCGGCCAUCCUGAGGCUGCCCACUUGCUUGGCUCUUCUUCCUGCCUGCCGGAGAGGCCUGCUGGGCACUGCCCUUUCUGA
RNAcentral lists this long non-coding RNA (2142 nucleotides) under Macaca fascicularis (crab-eating macaque). RNAcentral's name for it is "lncRNA (ENSMFAG00000053658.1)". Lineage: Eukaryota; Metazoa; Chordata; Mammalia; Primates; Cercopithecidae. The record is from RNAcentral.